RNAcentral lists this ribosomal RNA (404 nucleotides) under uncultured bacterium. RNAcentral's name for it is "bacterial SSU rRNA". It matches the Rfam family "Bacterial small subunit ribosomal RNA", at positions 355 to 774 of the family's 1533-position model. The record is from RNAcentral.
UGGGGAAUCUUGCACAAUGGAGGAAACUCUGAUGCAGCGACGCCGCGUGAGUGAAGAAGGUCUUCGGAUCGUAAAACUCUGUCCUUGGUGACGAAAAAAAUGACGGUAGCCAAGGAGGAAGCCCCGGCUAACUACGUGCCAGCAGCCGCGGUAAUACGUAGGGGGCGAGCGUUGUCCGGAUUUACUGGGCGUAAAGGGUGAGUAGGCGGUAAUAUGUGUCAGAUGUAAAAGGCUAUGGCUUAACCAUAGUUGGCAUUUGAAACUGUAUUACUUGAGUGCAGGAGAGGUAAGUGGAAUUCCUAGUGUAGCGGUGAAAUGCGUAGAUAUUAGGAGGAACACCAGUGGCGAAGGCGACUUACUGGACUGUAACUGACGCUGAGUCACGAAAGCGUGGGUAGCAAACA